Termitomyces sp. J132 is the source of this 97-nucleotide transfer RNA. It matches the Rfam family "tRNA". From Rfam's summary of the family: Transfer RNA (tRNA) molecules are approximately 80 nucleotides in length. Their secondary structure includes four short double-helical elements and three loops (D, anti-codon, and T loops). Lineage: Eukaryota; Fungi; Basidiomycota; Agaricomycetes; Agaricales; Lyophyllaceae. The record is from Rfam.
UCGGGUAUGGUGUAAUGGCUAACAUUGCCGCCUCUCAUUUCGAAGGUGAUAUGAGAUCCUUACGCAGGAGCUCGGGGUUUGAUUCCCCGUACCCGAA